AUUGAACGCUGGCGGAAUGCUUUACACAUGCAAGUCGAACGGCAGCACGGGGGCAGCCCUGGUGGCGAGUGGCGAACGGGUGAGUAAUACAUCGGAACGUGCCCGGUCGUGGGGGAUAACGUGGCGAAAGUUACGCUAAUACCGCAUACGAUCUGAGGAUGAAAGCGGGGGACCUUCGGGCCUCGCGCGAUCGGAGCGGCCGAUGUCAGAUUAGGUAGUUGGGGGGGUAAAGGCCUACCAAGCCGACGAUCUGUAGCUGGUCUGAGAGGACGACCAGCCACACUGGGACUGAGACACGGCCCAGACUCCUACGGGAGGCAGCAGUGGGGAAUUUUGGACAAUGGGCGCAAGCCUGAUCCAGCCAUUCCGCGUGCAGGACGAAGGCCUUCGGGUUGUAAACUGCUUUUGUACGGAACGAAAAGGCUCUGGCUAAUACCUGGGGCUCAUGACGGUACCGUAAGAAUAAGCACCGGCUAACUACGUG
RNAcentral lists this ribosomal RNA (484 nucleotides) under uncultured bacterium. RNAcentral describes it as "partial 16S ribosomal RNA". It matches the Rfam family "Bacterial small subunit ribosomal RNA", at positions 29 to 507 of the family's 1533-position model. The record is from RNAcentral.